AGCGAGCGUUUGCGGCGGGCUUAACACAUGCAAGUCGAACGAGAAUCCCUUCGGGGAGGAAAGUGGCGCACGGGUGCGUAACACGUGGAUAACCAACCCAUUGGUUUGGGACAACACCGGGAAACUGGUGCUAAUACCAGAUGUGUCGCAGCUGUCUUCAGGCGGUUGCGAGAAAGGCCCGCAAGGGUCGCCAACGGACGGGUCCGCGUCCCAUCAGCUAGUUGGUGAGGUAAUGGCUCACCAAGGCAAAGACGGGUAGCUGGUCUGAGAGGAUGAUCAGCCACACUGGAACUGAGACACGGUCCAGACUCCUACGGGAGGCAGCAGUGGGGAAUAUUGCGCAAUGGGCGAAAGCCUGACGCAGCCACGCCGCGUGAGCGAUGAAGGUCUUCGGAUCGUAAAGCUCUGUGGGGGGAGAAGAAGAAAGCCGGUGAAGAGCCGGCCCUGACGGUAUCCCCUUAGCAAGCACCGGCUAACUCCGUGCCAGCAGCCGCGGUAAAG
RNAcentral lists this ribosomal RNA (501 nucleotides) under uncultured bacterium. RNAcentral's name for it is "bacterial SSU rRNA". It matches the Rfam family "Bacterial small subunit ribosomal RNA", at positions 29 to 525 of the family's 1533-position model. The record is from RNAcentral.